This 509-nucleotide ribosomal RNA is filed under the name uncultured bacterium. Its description in RNAcentral is "bacterial SSU rRNA". It matches the Rfam family "Bacterial small subunit ribosomal RNA", at positions 31 to 518 of the family's 1533-position model. The record is from RNAcentral.
GAACGCUGGCGGCGUGCCUAACACAUGCAAGUCGAACGGGGAUUUGUUUCGGCAGAAUCCUAGUGGCGAACGGGUGAGUAACGCGUAGGCAACCUGCCCUCCGGCCGGGGACAACACUCCGAAAGGGGUGCUAAUACCGGAUACGAAGUCUGUGCCGCAUGGUACGGAUUUGAAAGAUGGCCUCUAUUUAUAAGCUAUCGCCGGGGGAUGGGCCUGCGUCCGAUUAGCUGGUUGGUGGGGUAACGGCCUACCAAGGCGACGAUCGGUAGCCGGUCUGAGAGGAUGAACGGCCACAUUGGGACUGAGACACGGCCCAGACUCCUACGGGAGGCAGCAGUGGGGAAUCUUCCGCAAUGGGCGCAAGCCUGACGGAGCAACGCCGCGUGAGUGAGGAAGUUCUUCGGAACGUAAAGCUCUGUUGUUCCUGACGAACCUCCCCUCUAUCAACAACGGAGGGGACUGACGGUAGGGAACGAGGAAGCCACGGCUAACUACGUGCCAGCAGCUGC